UGAAUUGCAUGGCCAAGUAUCCCUGACAGCACGGUAUAAUAGUUUAUGUCGGGAAGCAAUCAAAUAUGCAGAAGAUGGGGCAAUAGCUACAGAGACUUAUAACAUUGCAAUGGGUGCUCUUAAGGAAGGUGGGAAGAAGGUGUCUGUUGUAAAGAAAAAUGUCGCAAAAUUUGCACCUCCUGGAUCACAGGCUAGUACUGCAGCUUAUGAUGACAAUAGCAGCUCAACUUUAGGUCCAGAUACAGCCCCUUUGCUAUGGCCACAGCAAGACGAAAUUACACGGCGUUUCAAUCUUAAUGACACUGGUGCCCCACCUCAAUCUGUCUCAGAUUUGAAUCUGCCACAUAUGGCUCCUGUUUCUCUCCAUCGGGAUGAUAGUCAUCCAGAUAACAUGGUACAACAAGUAAUUCGG
RNAcentral lists this long non-coding RNA (412 nucleotides) under Gossypium barbadense (sea-island cotton). RNAcentral's name for it is "long non-coding RNA (GBAR_LNC015111)". Lineage: Eukaryota; Viridiplantae; Streptophyta; Magnoliopsida; Malvales; Malvaceae. The record is from RNAcentral.